ACAUAACAACUGUUUUUUUCGAACAUACUUUCCAAGACGGGUAUUUUGACAUAUUUUGUAUGUAUUUGUCGGCACAAGAGCAAAAAGAGGCAAAUUCUGUGUUCAAGUAUUUUGAGACGCCUUUCUCUGCGUGAGCCCUAAACACCAGAACACCGUGGUGCUGAAAUUGGCUUUUUUACAUCCUUUUCUGUUUGUUUAAACUGCUAUUUGUAUUUGUUCGUUCAGGUGCAGGAGGAAAUUCGAAGAGAACUUCGCAAAGGAGAUCUGGGUUCAGUGUUGCUGUCUGUCAGACACAGCUCUGAGACUGUAAGAUGCGUGCACACCGAACACAGCACGCGAGAGCAGACAGAUGAUGUGACUUAUACUGAAGUUACUGCGGUCAGUAAAGCCAGAGCCCAAAAGAACAAGGUGAGCAAACACUUCUUGUCCUCUCAUGGAUGUCCUCCUUCUCUCAGUGUAACCUGUAUCUCUUUUAUUCUGAUAUAAAUGUGUGGUGAACUGAGCUCAAACCUCAUGCUGUAAUAACUGUGGGUUGAAACAAUCUCUGUGAUGUUGGUUCAGGUUUGCUGUGAUGAUAAAGUGACUUACGCUUCCAUCAGAGGAGUAAAAGCCGGAGAUCAGGAAGACUGCAGUCAACUUUACGCUUCUGUGAACAAGAACCAUCACAAAUCAGGAAAAUAAUCAUAAGAUAAUCACACCAGCAGAGCAAUAUGAGCCUUAAAUAACUGACUCUUCAUGGUUUCAUUCAGUGCCAUUAUAUAUAUUCAAUGCUGCAUGGAUUAGGAACCAAUUACAGUUCAUUACCCAUAUAUAUAUAAUUUUUUUUUUAAGUAGCUGUCUGUGUGUCUUUAUUAUUAAUUAAGGCUCUGUUUGCACAAAGUCUAGAAAAUAGAGAACAGUUUUACUCUCUUAGAUCAUUCUCAUUAAAUCGUUGAUUGUCUCGAGUGAUUAAUUAACUGUCAGCUUGCACUAAUUAUGGCAAAGCUACUGUGUAAGAUGAUGUAAGCAUUUAUCACAAUAUGACAGGAAUCAUAAUUUGGUGUUUGAACCGUUUGAACAGCUGCUUUCAGCAAUACUUGUAAAAUUAUAUUUUGUCUGUCAAUAAUAAAAUAUCC
This 1115-nucleotide long non-coding RNA is filed under the name Carassius auratus (goldfish). RNAcentral describes it as "lncRNA (ENSCARG00000029157.1)". Lineage: Eukaryota; Metazoa; Chordata; Actinopteri; Cypriniformes; Cyprinidae. The record is from RNAcentral.